This 208-nucleotide ribosomal RNA is filed under the name uncultured bacterium. Its description in RNAcentral is "partial 16S ribosomal RNA". It matches the Rfam family "Bacterial small subunit ribosomal RNA", at positions 568 to 774 of the family's 1533-position model. The record is from RNAcentral.
AGCGCAGGCGGGAAGACAAGUUGGAAGUGAAAACCAUGGGCUCAACCCAUGAAUUGCUUUCAAAACUGUUUUUCUUUGAGUAGUGCAGAGGUAGAUGGAAUUCCCGGUGUAGCGGUGGAAUGCGUAGAUAUCGGGAGGAACACCAGUGGCGAAGGCGGUCUACUGGGCAUCAACUGACGCUGAGGCUCGAAAGCAUGGGUAGCAAACA